AUGAAAGAGGCGAUCAGAAUGGUACCCGAAUCCAUUUACGAUCCCGAGUUUCCAGACACAUCGCACUUCCGCUCGGGUCGAGGCUGCCACUCGGCCCUCAGACGGAUCAAAGAAGAGUGGGGAACCUCUCGCUGGUUUUUGGAAUUCGACAUCAGGAAGUGUUUUCACACCAUCCACCGACAUCGAUUCAUCUCAAUCUUGAAGGAAGAGAUCGACGAUUCCAAGUUCUUAUACCCCACUCAGAAAAAGUUUUCCGCCGGACGACUCGUAGGGGGUGAGAAGGGCCCUGACUCCAUCCCAAACAGUGUACUACUAUCGGCCCUACCAGGCAAUAUCUACCUACACAAGCUCGAUCAGGAGAUAGGGAGGAUCCGGCAGAAGCACGAAAUUCCUCUUGUAGUGAAAAUAAGAUCGGUUCUAUUAAGAAUAGGUCGUCGUAUUGAUGACCAAGAAAAGUAUGGAAAAGAAGCAAGCUUCAACGCUCCCCAAGACAACAGAGCCCUCAUAGUGGGGAGGGUAAAUAGCAUCCAACGCAAAGCGACCUUUCAUUCCCUUGUUUCGUCAUGGCACACCCCCCCCCUCCACAAGCACCCCCAGGCGAAGGGGAGACCAGAAAACGCCUUUCGUUUUCCCCCCUUCAGCGGCCCUAGCCGCCUUCCUUAA
Molecule: ribosomal RNA, 663 nt
Filed under: Triticum aestivum (bread wheat)
Lineage: Eukaryota; Viridiplantae; Streptophyta; Magnoliopsida; Poales; Poaceae
Description: partial small subunit ribosomal RNA
Source: RNAcentral